RNAcentral lists this ribosomal RNA (310 nucleotides) under uncultured Rhizobiaceae bacterium. RNAcentral describes it as "bacterial SSU rRNA". It matches the Rfam family "Bacterial small subunit ribosomal RNA", at positions 1068 to 1382 of the family's 1533-position model. The record is from RNAcentral. Lineage: Bacteria; Pseudomonadati; Pseudomonadota; Alphaproteobacteria; Hyphomicrobiales; Rhizobiaceae.
UGAGAUGUUCGGGUUAAGUCCCGCAACGAGCGCAACCCUGCCCUUAGUUGCCAGCAUUUGGUUGGGCACUCUAAGGGGACUGCCGGUGAUAAGCCGAGAGAGGUGGGAUGACGUCAAGUCCUCAUGGCCCUUACGGGCUGGGCUACACACGUGCUACAAUGGUGGUGACAGUGGGCAGCGAGACCGCGAGGUCGAGCUAAUCUCCAAAAGCCAUCUCAGUUCGGAUUGCACUCUGCAACUCGAGUGCAUGAAGUUGGAAUCGCUAGUAGUCGCAGAUCAGCAUGCUGCGGUGAAUACGUUCCCGGGCCUU